AAAGACAGUAGUUAGACUCUACUAUUAAGGG
RNAcentral lists this transfer RNA (31 nucleotides) under Diadema paucispinum. Its description in RNAcentral is "partial tRNA-Lys". The record is from RNAcentral. Lineage: Eukaryota; Metazoa; Echinodermata; Echinoidea; Diadematoida; Diadematidae.